CUUGUACACACCGCCCGUCACACCAUGGGAAUUGGUUCUACCUUAAGUUCGUGGGCUAACCGCAAGGAGGCAGCCAACCACGGUAGGAUCAGUGACUGGGGUG
Molecule: ribosomal RNA, 103 nt
Filed under: uncultured bacterium
Lineage: Bacteria
Description: partial 16S ribosomal RNA
Rfam family: Bacterial small subunit ribosomal RNA
Source: RNAcentral